CGCCGUGCAGGCUGGCGGCUCCCUCGCAGCUGCUGAUCUUCUCUCCGCAGGUCCACCUCUGAUUCAGCAGCUCACCCCGAAACUCAUUUUCUGGGGAGGGGAAGAGGAACACGGGCGCUGAGGCCCCCGGCGG
Molecule: long non-coding RNA, 133 nt
Organism: Athene cunicularia (burrowing owl)
Lineage: Eukaryota; Metazoa; Chordata; Aves; Strigiformes; Strigidae
Exons: 3
Source: RefSeq, a predicted model, not a curated record